RNAcentral lists this non-coding RNA (191 nucleotides) under Oscillospiraceae bacterium. RNAcentral's name for it is "6S RNA". It matches the Rfam family "6S / SsrS RNA". Rfam says of the family: E. coli 6S RNA was the first non coding RNA to be sequenced, but its function was unknown until recently. It consists of 184 nucleotides that fold into an extended hairpin structure with a large single-stranded internal bulge. The record is from RNAcentral. Lineage: Bacteria; Bacillati; Bacillota; Clostridia; Eubacteriales; Oscillospiraceae.
AUGUCCCUGCGGUGUUCGUGACGGACCCUUUUAAACCCACAUCUAUUAUAAGGGACGCCUAUCUCUUGGCGCGGAUUGCAGGCCUCCCCGCUCCGGCGGGACGUUGGAAGCAGCUAAACGUCAAGGCGGCGACCCACCUGCAUAUGCGUGCAGGUUCUAAUCGGGUCUGGCACGGCACAUGCGGGGCGAUA